UCAAAUGAAGGUGGCUACAAGUUCCAUG
This 28-nucleotide non-coding RNA is filed under the name Mus musculus (house mouse). The record is from RNAcentral. Lineage: Eukaryota; Metazoa; Chordata; Mammalia; Rodentia; Muridae.